RNAcentral lists this long non-coding RNA (215 nucleotides) under Elaeis guineensis (African oil palm). RNAcentral's name for it is "long non-coding RNA (EGUI_LNC081694)". The record is from RNAcentral. Lineage: Eukaryota; Viridiplantae; Streptophyta; Magnoliopsida; Arecales; Arecaceae.
ACCAAAAGAUAUUUUUUCUACCAUACUGAUGAACAAAAGGUGUUCGUCAGUCUUAAAAUAACCUUUUUAGAAAAGGAGUUCCUUGGUGAAGGAACCGUUGCCUUUAAGGUUGAACUUGAUGAAGUUCAACAGAUAGAAGGACCGACACCAAUAGCUGAACCUGAGUCGGAUUUUAUUAGAUCAGAUCCAGAGCUCAAUAUACCUGCACCAUUAAG